RNAcentral lists this ribosomal RNA (586 nucleotides) under Bacillus sp. (in: firmicutes). RNAcentral describes it as "bacterial SSU rRNA". It matches the Rfam family "Bacterial small subunit ribosomal RNA", at positions 339 to 916 of the family's 1533-position model. The record is from RNAcentral. Lineage: Bacteria; Bacillati; Bacillota; Bacilli; Caryophanales; Bacillaceae.
CUACGGGAGGCAGCAGUAGGGAAUCUUCCGCAAUGGACGAAAGUCUGACGGAGCAACGCCGCGUGAGUGAUGAAGGUUUUCGGAUCGUAAAGCUCUGUUGUUAGGGAAGGACAAGUGCGAGAGUAACUGCUCGCACCUUGACGGUACCUAACCAGAAAGCCACGGCUAACUACGUGCCAGCAGCCGCGGUAAUACGUAGGUGGCAAGCGUUGUCCGGAAUUAUUGGGCGUAAAGGGCUCGCAGGCGGUUUCUUAAGUCUGAUGUGAAAGCCCCCGGCUCAACCGGGGAGGGUCAUUGGAAACUGGGAAACUUGAGUGCAGAAGAGGAGAGUGGAAUUCCACGUGUAGCGGUGAAAUGCGUAGAGAUGUGGAGGAACACCAGUGGCGAAGGCGACUCUCUGGUCUGUAACUGACGCUGAGGAGCGAAAGCGUGAGGAGCGAACAGGAUUAGAUACCCUGGUAGUCCACGCCGUAAACGAUGAGUGCUAAGUGUUAGGGGGUUUCCGCCCCUUAGUGCUGCAGCUAACGCAUUAAGCACUCCGCCUGGGGAGUACGGUCGCAAGACUGAAACUCAAAGGAAUUGACGG